UGGGGAAUAUUGGACAAUGGGGGCAACCCUGAUCCAGCAAUGCCGCGUGUGUGAAGAAGGCCUGAGGGUUGUAAAGCACUUUCAGUGGGGAGGAGGAUUGUUUGUUUAAGAGAUGGACAAUUGGACGUUACCCACAGAAGAAGCACCGGCUAACUCCGUGCCAGCAGCCGCGGUAAUACGGAGGGUGCAAGCGUUAAUCGGAAUUACUGGGCGUAAAGAGUGCGUAGGUGGUUUUGUUAGUUAUCUGUGAAAUCCCUGGGCUUAACCUGGGCAGGUCAGAUAAAACUGCAAGACUCGAGUAUGGGAGAGGGUAGUGGAAUUUCCGGUGUAGCGGUGAAAUGCGUAGAGAUCGGAAGGAACACCAGUGGCGAAGGCGGCUACCUGGCCUAAUACUGACACUGAGGCACGAAAGCGUGGGGAGCAAACAGGAUUAGAUACCCGCGUAGUCC
Molecule: ribosomal RNA, 449 nt
Filed under: uncultured bacterium
Lineage: Bacteria
Description: bacterial SSU rRNA
Rfam family: Bacterial small subunit ribosomal RNA
Source: RNAcentral